This 445-nucleotide ribosomal RNA is filed under the name uncultured bacterium. Its description in RNAcentral is "partial 16S ribosomal RNA". It matches the Rfam family "Bacterial small subunit ribosomal RNA", at positions 354 to 796 of the family's 1533-position model. The record is from RNAcentral.
GUGGGGAAUAUUGCGCAAUGGAGGCAACUCUGACGCAGCCAUGCCGCGUGCAGGAAGAAGGCGCUACGCGUUGUAAACUGCUUUUAACCGGGAAGAAACCCCAGGACGUGUCCUGGGUUGACGGUACCGGAGGAAUAAGCACCGGCUAACUUCGUGCCAGCAGCCGCGGUAAUACGAAGGGUGCAAGCGUUAUCCGGAUUCAUUGGGUUUAAAGGGUGCGUAGGCGGAGCGUUAAGUCAGUGGUGAAAUCCUGCAGCUUAACUGUAGACUUGCCAUUGAUACUGGCGCUCUUGAGUGCGCUUGAAGUGGGCGGAAUGUGCCGUGUAGCGGUGAAAUGCUUAGAUAUGGCACAGAACACCAAUUGCGAAGGCAGCUCACUAAGGCGAUACUGACGCUGAGGCACGAAAGCGUGGGGAUCGAACAGGAUUAGAUACCCGAGUAGUCC